GUGACGCAGACAACGACACAAUUUUCGAGUGCCUCUACGCGAAACGAACGGAGUUUAACCCGGAGACUUAUGACACAACGUACGUCUGGUUCUUCCCGUCACAAGGGACGGAAGUUGCUUUCUACGCAUACCCAGGAAGCGAACCUGGAUUGGUACAAUUCACGUUUCCGGAAGAUCCGACUCCAAAGGACGUCAACGUAUAUUACACCGACUAUGAAAACUGCCUUGUUGUCGAUGUGGAGUACCACGGACAUCAAUGCACGCUCUGGGUUGUCAGGCAGCUAAAGGACAGCGUUCCAAAAAACUGCAUCGACCACUUCGUUGACACUUGUGGUGUUAUAGUACCAGCGCACAGCAGAGACCUGUGUCCUGAUGGCGAAGGCGACUACUAGUGGCGGGAAAGAUGCAAUCUGAACAACUUGCUGGAAUUACGGAAACUGGCGUCGUCAUGCGGUUCGGCGACCGAACGUGUGUGAUAAUUGCAUCGCCAUCAAUAUAGUACUGCUGUUAAAGCGACGGGCCACUUCAUCGUAGUGACUGUAUUCUUUUCACUGGAUUCCUGCGA
Molecule: long non-coding RNA, 565 nt
Organism: Rhipicephalus sanguineus (brown dog tick)
Lineage: Eukaryota; Metazoa; Arthropoda; Arachnida; Ixodida; Ixodidae
Exons: 5
Source: RefSeq, a predicted model, not a curated record